This 355-nucleotide ribosomal RNA is filed under the name uncultured bacterium. RNAcentral's name for it is "bacterial SSU rRNA". It matches the Rfam family "Bacterial small subunit ribosomal RNA", at positions 350 to 722 of the family's 1533-position model. The record is from RNAcentral.
AGCAGUGGGGAAUAUUGGACAAUGGGCGAAAGCCUGAUCCAGCAAUGCCGCGUGAGUGAAGAAGGCCUUAGGGUUGUAAAGCUCUUUUACCCGGGAUGAUAAUGACAGUAUCGGGAGAAUAAGCUCCGGCUAAAUCCGUGCCAGCAGCCGCGGUAAUACGGAGGGGGCUAGCGUUGUUUGGAAUUACUGGGCGUAAAGCGCACGUAGGCGGCUUUUCAAGUCAGGGGUGAAAUCCCGGGGCUCAACCCCGGAACUGCCCUUGAAACUAGGAAGCUUGAAUAUUGGAGAGGCGAGUGGAAUUCCGAGUGUAGAGGUGAAAUUCGUAGAUAUUCGGAAGAACACCAGUGGCGAAGGC